This 404-nucleotide long non-coding RNA is filed under the name Elaeis guineensis (African oil palm). RNAcentral describes it as "long non-coding RNA (EGUI_LNC046468)". Lineage: Eukaryota; Viridiplantae; Streptophyta; Magnoliopsida; Arecales; Arecaceae. The record is from RNAcentral.
GGCCAUGUGGAAUUUGUUGUGGAGAGUGGAGUUGUGUCUGUUAUCGUGACUUGCCAGAGAGUGGUGGGGCCAUGUGGAAUCUGUUACAGAGAGUGGAAUGGUAUCCAUUGUCGCGACUUGCCAAAGAAUGGUGGGGCCACGUGGAGUUUGUUACGGAGAGCGGAGUGGGAUAGUGUCCGUUGUCGCGACUUGUCAGAGAGUUCAGACUGGAUGGAUGAAGCUCGACUGGGACGUCUGAUGGAGUAGAAUGGCUCUCUAUCUUAGUAAUCUAAGAGAAGCUUGGAUAUUUUCGAGGUUGCUGAUGAGUCCACUAUUGUCGGGUGCCUUGAGCACUGAUGCUACAGGCGAAAGUCAUCUGCUGUAGAAGCUCGGAUGGGGACUUUCUAUUGGAGAAGUCUGAUGGA